GCGCGGUCUCCGUCGGGUGCUAGCUUACUCUGAAUUACUGAGCGUAAAGCGUUUACAGGCGGUGUGUAUGUAUGUCGUGUUAUCCGCGGGCUCAACGGGGGAAUUAUGAUGGAGUCUGCACGGCUAGAAUCUGGCAGAGGGGGGUAGAAUUCCACGUGUGGCAGUGAAAUGCGUAGAGAUGUGGAGGAACACCGAUGGCGAUGGCAGCCCCCUGGGUCAAGAUUGACCCUCAUGCACGAAAGCGUGGGGAGCAAACAGCAUUAGAUAUCCUGGUAGUCCACGCCGUAAUUGAUGUCUACUAGUUGUCGGGUUUUAAUUAACGUGGUAACGCAGCUAACGCGUGAAGUAGACCGCCUGGGGAGUACGGUCGCAAGAUUAAAACUCAAAGGAAUUGACGGGGACCCGCACAAGCGGUGGAUGAUGUGGAUUAAUUAGAUGCAACGCGAAAAACCUUACCUACCCUUGACAUGUACGGAAGCCACGAGAGAUCGAGGUGUGCUCGAAGGAGAACCGUAACACAGGUGCUGCAUGGCUGUCGUCAGCUCGUGUCGUGAGAUGUUGGGUUAAGUCCCGCAACGAGCGCAACCCUUGUCAUUAGUUGCUACAUUUAGUUGGGCACUCUAAUGAGACUGCCGGUGACAAACCGGAGGAAGGUGGGGAUGACGUCAAGUCCUCAUGGCCCUUAUGGGUAGGGCUUCACACGUCAUACAAUGGUACAUACAGAGGGCCGCCAACCCGCGAGGGGGAGCUAAUCCCAGAAAGUGUAUCGUAGUCCGGAUCGCAGUCUGCAACUCGACUGCGUGAAGUUGGAAUCGCUAGUAAUCGCGGAUCAGCAUGUCGCGGUGAAUACGUUCCCGGGCCUUGUACACACCGCCCGUCACACCAUGGGAGUGGGUUUUACCAGAAGUAGGUAGUCUAACCGCAAGGAGGACGCUACCACGGUAGAUACAAAGGU
RNAcentral lists this ribosomal RNA (955 nucleotides) under uncultured bacterium. RNAcentral's name for it is "bacterial SSU rRNA". It matches the Rfam family "Bacterial small subunit ribosomal RNA", at positions 515 to 1475 of the family's 1533-position model. The record is from RNAcentral.